GAAGCUCACAUCUAGGGCGUGGAGUUACAGAAAUCAGACUGGCACAUGAUACAGAAGGGACUAGGUGCUAUGGAGAGAAGUGAGCCGGGGAGGGGAUAGCCUGUGUUGGAGCGGAGGCUACUUCUUUAGAGAGAUGAGGGAAGGCCACUCGAAUCUGAUGCUGAGCAGAGAUCAGGGAUUUUGUAUAAGGGAAGUGAGGGAGUGAGUCAUGUGGCCACCUCAGGAGAGCAUUCCAGGAUAAGAAAACGGCAGGUGCAAAGGCACUGCUGCAGGGAGGUGUUCGAUAUUUCCAAGGAGUGUGGAGAAGUCCCGUGUGGUGGCUGCAGAGGGAGCAGGGGGAGGAUGAUGGGAGGUGAGAAUAGAGAUAUCUGAGAUACGCCCUCAAGAGCCCUAGAGGCCAUGCGAAUUGCAUGGGACCCACUGGAGGGAGCCAUUCCCAGAGCCGUGACAGGUUGGGACCUGCCUGCAAAGGACCACAUUCUGGCCGUGGGGAAGGACAGAAGCAGGAGACCAAUUUGGAGGCUGGGGCCUGGGGCCUAGGACAGGCAUGGUGAGCAGUGGUCAGUUUCUGAAUCCAUUCUCAGGGUAGACACAAUAGGAUUGGUGAUUGAUUGAAUAUGAGAUGUGAGACAAAGACAAACGCCAAGGAUGGCUCCAAGGGUUUUUCCUGAACAGCUGCCAGGAUGAAGUUGGCAUUGAUUUAGGUGGAGGAAGAAAGGAGGGAGCAGGUUUGGGAGCUGGAGAUAGAGAUUCAUUUUUGAAAGUGUUAAUUUGAGAUGUUCAAUUAGACACACAGUGGAGAUGCCAAAUAGACAAUUAUACAGGAGUCUGGUGCUGAGUGUUGAGGUCUGGGAUGGAGACAUCACCCUGAGGGUCCUUAGCAUUUAAAUGCUGUUUAAAACCAGGAGGUUAGAUGAGCUCAUCAAGGGAGAGAGAAGGGAUAGAAGAGGGAGAGGGUCUGAGGACUCAGCCCUGGAGCAUAGAUAAUUAACAGGCAGAUGAGGAGAAACUGGGAGAGGAGACUGAGAAGGAACAGCAGGCAAGAGAAAGAGGGCUAAGGGAGAGCCAUGACCUACAAUCAGGUCAAGAAGCAUUUCUACAGGAGAGAUUUAUGCUGCUGAUCUUCCAAUAGAUCAAGUAGUGUGGAGACCACCGAGACCCAGCCACUGGAGACCAUUAGCCUAGAGAGGUCAUUGGUGGCCUUGCCAAGCCCUGUUUUGAUUCCAGGCUCGGGAGACAGAGUGUAGUCAGAGGAGAGGAAUCACAGACAGCCCAGUGCAGACAAUAGGCAACUCUUUCAAAGAGUCAUCUCAUAAAGGUCUUCUCACCUAAAGAACAUUGGGAAGACUUUAAUUGGAAUCACAAGAAUUGGGAACAGCUGUUGGUGUUUGCAGCCACACAUGUUUGAGAUCAGUUAUCUUUUGACAUAAUGACCAAGAUUUUUUGUUAUGUCAGAUGAGAUAAAAGUAAGUAUUUGCUGCUACAGUUUCCCCUGAUAAGCAGUAUUCCACUUUUAUAUAAGAGGGCCAGAUGGUUGAAUUAAGGAUGAAAUAACACAUAUUGAAAUUUGCUUUUAAAUCUACCUCUGUACACAGAGGUUCUCUUAAGAGAGGUUUACCAUCAAUCUUUGGCUUUGUCCUCUCCUAAUGAUACGGGAACUAUAAAGAAAUUAUUUAGGCAGUUAGUGAGGGUAAGAGAGUCUUUGUCAAGGUUUCCUUUUUAAGAAAAAGCAGCCCCCAAAUCAUUUCUUUUCUAACAAAGAGCAGCCUGAAAAAUCAAGCUGCUGACAUAGAAAAGCAAGAUAGAAGCUUGCAUGGGUGAAUGCCGGUAGCCGUGCCAAUGGGAAAAGGCUACCUGGGGGCCAGGCAUGUUCAACAUGGAGGCUCUAUCUUCCCUUUUCUUUGUCAACCACAUGUACAGCAAUGAAGCAGGCAACAUGGCGCUGGCCAGGUAGAGAACCCAGCUGCAUAAUAGAAGAUUACAGUGCACUGGCCAGCUUCUUGCACUAUGCAAAUGACAUGCCUGGUCUGACCAAUCUCUCGUACCCUGUGUAAAUCAGACACUGCCUCCUCAAGCUCCUGCAUAAAAUCCCAUGCAUUUCACCACGGAACUGGAAGACCUACUCGGGAGCUCCUCUGUCUCUACAGCAGAGAGAGCUUUUCUCUUUCUUUCACCUGUUAAACCUCUGCUCUUAACCUCACUCCUUGUGUGUCUGUGUCCUUGAUUUCCGUGGCGUGAGGCAACGAACCUCAGGUAUUAUCCCAGAUGAACGAUGCCACUUCACUAAGGAAGAUAAAGGAAACUAGAGACUAAGCUCAAUAUCACACUCCUCCCAUGUGUAUGCACACUUACAUAUACAUCUUUGUUUUAAUUUAAGCAGGAGAAAGAAGUUAGGAAAGUGGUUAUGUUCCUAAGCUGUUUUUCCAUAAUCUGAGCUUUGUUGGAAGUAUUAGAACAGAUCUGUAGCAAAACUCAGAAACUGUGAACCCUCAGUGCAGUUUCUCAAAUGUGCUCACAUGUGAUCCUAGAUCCAUCUUACACCUUGCUAUUCCAGUUUAAUAGUAGGGUAUUGAAUCUGGCUUCCUGUGCUGCAGUGAUUUAGAAGGUGUGUGAAAUAUGGAAUUGUUUUGUUGGACUCUUCCUUAUUCCUUAUCUGUUUGCCACCCACCAAUACAGCAACUACUAAAAAUAAGGCUAGAGCUCUGUGUUCUUCCAGUAGUGAGAUGAAUCAAUGUUGAUAACGUGCCCUCUCUUGAUUCCCAGGUGUAUAAACAAUGAAAUUUUUGAUGAGUUUUCUUGCCCAAGGGGUGAAAUCUCCAGCCAAUAAACAGAGCAUCUAUCUGUGUGUGAGUGCCUGUCUGUGUGCACAUGAGUGCAUGCCUUGUGUGUCCGUGUGUGUGCAUUCGUGUGCUGUGUUUUGAAAGAAGCUAAUUAAACUGUAGACACUAAAUCUUUAGAUGUUACUGAAUCAACUCAAUCAACCAGUUCUGGCAAGUCCAAAUAUUAGCAGUGGUAGCAAAUACGAAUAAGCGAUCACAUAUAGAACACUUGCCAUGUGGACAAUCAGAUGGAUUCUGUCAUCUAAGAUUUAAAAAGCAAAAUAAAAAAAUACCACGGAAACCUUCAUGUUAUGGGAAAGUGACUGCGUAUUUGUAAAGAACACAGUCAAUACUAGAUGUGUGAGCUGUAAAUAAUGUAGUCAUUAUUAUUUUGGUCUGGAACACUUUAUGUCCUUUAGUCAUUAAAAUUAGGAUCUAUAAGACUGGGGCAGCAUGGAGAAAUGACUAUUACACCAUGCAGUGACUUUUUUUAAAAAAGAGAAACAUAAACUUAGGGCAUCUAUUUCCCACCAUUUUCUCAUUUAAUUACAAUUCCCUGAUACCUUUCUACUAGUCUCGUGCUGUUUGGGGGCAAACUAGUAAGAAGCUGGGGGCAAAAGUCUCCUCUUCCAAUAAAUUCCUGUGGAAGUAGGAAGCUAUUAUCUGUUUCUUCCUUUUAUAAUGGAGCUUAAAUUCUUACCUGAAAUAGACCCCAGCUGUGGAGGUAAAGGGUGUGGAGGAGAGGAAGAAAUAACAGUGUUUGUGAGUGCGUAUGUGUGUGUGUGCACGUAUGUGGCAGGUGUUUGCAAACACAUGGGAAGCACCUAUGCUUUCCUUGUUUCCAGUGGGAGAAGCUGCCUAAAGCAUGUCUCUUCCUGUUCAGCAAGACAUCUCGGUUCCCUGAAAAUUCAUCAGGGAUGGUGAAAUCUCCAUGAACGAACACAGAAAGCUCCACCAAAGGGACAGUUCAUGGUGAAUUCAGUGAUAGUGACAUUCUAGAAGUUGACACCGGUCAACCCUUUCUAUCCACCUCCACCCUGUCUCAGUGUCUUUCUUUUGCUGUUGCUUCUCAUCACCAACAAACUCAUGUCUGGUUUUUGGGAAACAUUACUGUGUAACGGCUUCUGUAAAAUAAGAGCUCUUCUUUGUAGAAAAAUGUAAUAGUCUUAGCAAUUAAGCCCAUGUUUUAUAGUAUUGUUUCAUUAGGAAUAAAUACAUAUAUUGUAAUUAAAAACUUUUCUCAGCU
Long non-coding RNA from Cercocebus atys (sooty mangabey), 4065 nucleotides. RefSeq lists it as uncharacterized. The transcript has 3 exons. Lineage: Eukaryota; Metazoa; Chordata; Mammalia; Primates; Cercopithecidae. The record is from RefSeq and is a predicted model, not a curated record.